Molecule: ribosomal RNA, 854 nt
Filed under: uncultured bacterium
Lineage: Bacteria
Description: bacterial SSU rRNA
Rfam family: Bacterial small subunit ribosomal RNA
Source: RNAcentral
GUCGAGGGGCAGCGGGGAGUGAGGCUUGCCUUACUUUGCCGGCGACCGGCGCACGGGUGAGUAACACGUAUGCAACCUACCCUUUACAGCGGGAUAACCGGAAGAAAUUUCGCCUAAUACCGCAUAUACUCCUUGGGAGGCAUCUUCCGAGGGGGGAAGAAUUUCGGUGAAGGAUGGGCAUGCGUCGCAUUAGUUAGUUGGCGGUGUAACGGACCACCAAGACGACGAUGCGUAGGGGUUCUGAGAGGAAGGUCCCCCACACUGGUACUGAGACACGGACCAGACUCCUACGGGAGGCAGCAGUGAGGAAUAUUGGUCAAUGGCCGAGAGGCUGAACCAGCCAAGUCGCGUGAGGGAAGAAUGUCCUAUGGAUUGUAAACCUCUUUUGUCAGGGAGCAAAGUCACCCACGUGUGGGUGUUGGAGAGUACCUGAAGAAAAAGCAUCGGCUAACUCCGUGCCAGCAGCCGCGGUAAUACGGAGGAUGCGAGCGUUAUCAGGAUUUAUUGGGUUUAAAGGGUGCGUAGGCGGGUUAUCAAGUCAGCGGUAAAAUCGUGGAGCUCAACUCCAUCCAGCCGUUGAAACUGAUGAUCUUGAGUGGGCGAGAAGUAUGCGGAAUGCGUGGUGUAGCGGUGAAAUGCAUAGAUAUCACGCAGAACUCCGAUUGCGAAGGCAGCAUACCGGCGCCCGACUGACGCUGAAGCACGAAAGCGUGGGUAUCGAACAGGAUUAGAUACCCUGGUAGUCCACGCAGUAAACGAUGAAUACUAAUUGUGUGCUCCGAAUGAGGAGUGCGUGAUACAGCGAAAGCGUUAAGUAUUCCACCUGGGGAGUACGCCGGCAACGGUGAAACUCA